AAAGAUUUAGUUAAUAAAAAUAACAUUAGAAUGUCAAACUAAAAUCGCUUUAAAGCAAUCUUUU
Molecule: transfer RNA, 64 nt
Filed under: Waoraniella jarlinsoni
Lineage: Eukaryota; Metazoa; Arthropoda; Insecta; Psocodea; Lachesillidae
Description: tRNA-Asp
Source: RNAcentral